RNAcentral lists this long non-coding RNA (374 nucleotides) under Malus domestica (apple). RNAcentral's name for it is "long non-coding RNA (MDOM_LNC012274)". The record is from RNAcentral. Lineage: Eukaryota; Viridiplantae; Streptophyta; Magnoliopsida; Rosales; Rosaceae.
GCGAGCAUCAACUCUAACCCAUCAUUUAUGUAUUGAGGAACGAGCCCUUAUUCUAUAAAAGGGACUCCCUCAACUUCAACACCACAAGCCGAGCCAACCAAGGCAACAUAAGCCACAAGCCGAGCAGUCUUGCAACAUGUGAUAGUUGAGUAUCAUUUCGGAUUGGACCCCGCCUCAUAUCGAGUAUCAGUCCUAGACAACAUCUAGUUACUUCGGCCCACACAUGGACUGAAUUUCAAGUCUCCAGCCAAAAGACUCUCUUGACUGAAGACUUAGGGGACUACUGUUUAUACCAUAUUUAGGGCCUCCGUAUUUAGAUCUCAUACAAAUACUCGGAGGACUUAAAUGUAAUUAUGUAAGAAAGGAAGGGGCGA